AUAAACGCUGGCGGUGUGCUUUAUGCAUGCAAGUCGAACGGUUCCGAUUUAUCGGAAUAGUGGCGAACGGGUGAGUAACACGUAAGUAACCUGCCCUAAAGUGGAGAAUAACUUCGGGAAACUGAGGCUAAUACUGCAUGUGAUGGCGAGAGUGAUGUUUCGUCAUCAAAGCCUUCGGGCGCUUUGGGAGGUGCUUGCGUUCGAUUAGCUAGUUGGUAGGGUAACGGCCUACCAAGGCGAUGAUCGAUAGCUGGUCUGAGAGGAUGAUCAGCCACACUGGGACUGAGACACGGCCCAGACUCCUACGGGAGGCAGCAGCAAGGAAUUUUGUGCAAUGGGCGAAAGCCUGACACAGCAACACCGCGUGAGGGAUGAAGGCCUUCGGGUUGUAAACCUCUUUUAUCAGGGAAGAAUAAUGACGGUACCUGAUGAAUAAGCUUCGGCUAACUACGU
This 453-nucleotide ribosomal RNA is filed under the name uncultured bacterium. RNAcentral describes it as "bacterial SSU rRNA". It matches the Rfam family "Bacterial small subunit ribosomal RNA", at positions 29 to 506 of the family's 1533-position model. The record is from RNAcentral.